Mustela erminea (ermine) is the source of this 625-nucleotide long non-coding RNA. RefSeq lists it as uncharacterized. Lineage: Eukaryota; Metazoa; Chordata; Mammalia; Carnivora; Mustelidae. The transcript has 3 exons. The record is from RefSeq and is a predicted model, not a curated record.
UUUCCCAGAUGUGAGCCUCUGUGGUAAAGAACCAGGGACGCUACAGGCCUUCGGUGUGUUUGCUGUCACGCUUUUCUCUUAUUCUCCUAAAACCUGUUUAGUGCAGUCUGAAGUUCGUUAGCGUUCUUGUGACGGAAGGCACUCGCAGCCGGGGUGAGCGGGGGAGGCGCCCCUUGAGAGUGAGCGGUCGUGGCGGACGCAGUGUGCUGCGGGAUUGCUGGAAUCCUCAAGACCCAUGAAUGUCGGUCAUUCGGUUUGUUUUUGAUGGAAGUUCUCCUUUUCUCGAGGAAAAAGUCGUAUCCAAGUUUAAACACGAGCCUGAGGCUGAGGAAGAUGUUGCUGAAGAUGAAGGCAACAGAGUAAACUUCGGGGCUCCUCUGUCAUCUCGCGGCCAGGAGGGCUGGGCGCCGGGUCCCGGGACAGCAGGAGCAGACGUUGCACGAAGCACAGAUGUGCGGUUUCAUGAACGAUUGCGGGGAGGAUCCAAGUGUUGUUACCAGCAGCGUGGGACAGGACGAGAGAAAACACAGGCAUGGGAUUUGGAGUGGAAUACGUAGAACACGGGGCUCCGGGGGUGAAGCCGCUGCCUUCGGCUCGGGUCAUGGUCUCAAGGUCCUGGGAUUGA